This 468-nucleotide ribosomal RNA is filed under the name uncultured bacterium. RNAcentral's name for it is "partial 16S ribosomal RNA". It matches the Rfam family "Bacterial small subunit ribosomal RNA", at positions 28 to 507 of the family's 1533-position model. The record is from RNAcentral.
GACGAACGCUGGCGGCGUGCUUAACACAUGCAAGUCGAACGGAAAGGCCCUGCUUUUGUGGGGUGCUCGAGUGGCGAACGGGUGAGUAACACGUGAGUAACCUGCCCUUGACUUUGGGAUAACUUCAGGAAACUGGGGCUAAUACCGGAUAUGAGCUCCAGCUGCAUGGUGGGGGUUGGAAAGUUUCGGCGGUUGGGGAUGGACUUGCGGCUUAUCAGCUUGUUGGUGGGGUAGUGGCUUACCAAGGCUUUGACGGGUAGCCGGCCUGAGAGGGUGACCGGCCACAUUGGGACUGAGAUACGGCCCAGACUCCUACGGGAGGCAGCAGUGGGGAAUAUUGCACAAUGGGCGGAAGCCUGAUGCAGCAACGCCGCGUGCGGGAUGACGGCCUUCGGGUUGUAAACCGCUUUCGCCUGUGACGAAGCGUGAGUGACGGUAAUGGGUAAAGAAGCACCGGCUAACUACGUG